Non-coding RNA from Cerrena zonata, 85 nucleotides. NCBI's taxonomy places the organism in Eukaryota, Fungi, Basidiomycota, Agaricomycetes, Polyporales, Cerrenaceae. The record is from the annotation of a GenBank genome assembly.
GCCCUCGUUGUCUAAUGGUUAUGACGUCAGACUUCUACCAACGAGGGUGAUCUGGAGGUUGUGGGUUCGAGUCCCACCGGGGGUA